AUAUUAGAUUUAUAUUAUAUUAAUAAUAAGUAGAAUAAAGUCCUAAGGGACGACUUCGUCACGUUAAAUCGUAUACGAUCCUUUUCGAGACCUCGCAGAAAAUUUCUCAAGAAAGAUUAACAGCAUUUUAAAAUGGGGUUACUUUGUUUAUGAUU
The submitters of this non-coding RNA (155 nucleotides) gave its source as unclassified sequences. The record is from Rfam.